Long non-coding RNA from Cryptomeria japonica (Japanese cedar), 332 nucleotides. RefSeq lists it as uncharacterized. The record is from RefSeq and is a predicted model, not a curated record. The transcript has 4 exons. Lineage: Eukaryota; Viridiplantae; Streptophyta; Pinopsida; Cupressales; Cupressaceae.
UGCAGUGUGAUCUAGGAUCUGGUAGUGCAAUUGGAGACAAGGGAAAGAGAAUCCUUGGCUUCACAUCCUUGAUGACUACACCCAGUAUACCUGAAGAAGAAGAAGAGAUGCCUCGAGUAGAUGUUGUUUAUGAAAAUAUUCAAAACAUACCUCCUCUACUGAAGACAUACAUCAAGAGUCCUGCAAAGCUGAAGAGAAAACGUGGAGAUGAGGAUCCUUCAGAGUCGAGCAGUGUGGCGAAGAGGAUUGAUUUUGAUGAUCCAUCAGCAGCUUAGGAUGUUAUAGAUAGUUUUGGGAUGCUUACAUGUCUAUUUGGCAUGUAUAUUUUGUAU